UUAAUUUGUGUUUUUUUAUCCUUGUGUCAAAAUGAAUCCAUAAUGUUAAACCUGUUUCCAAGGAUAGUUUGUAAAUUCAUUGAUAUUUCAUCGUUUUUAUUUUGUGGGAAUUUUCUGUUUUAAUUUAAAAUUUGCUUCAGAUUCUUGUUCAGAAAUGUUUAAGAUGAGAGGUGACGAGCUAAUAAAGAAAUGUUUAAGAAGAGAGGAGACGAGCUAAUCCAACCUGGAAAAGAAUUAAUUUUACGGUUAUCGUUAUGAAUUUGUUACGGAGUAAGAAGGAGAAGACACCAAGAACAACAUCAAGUACAACAUUGCUGAGUCGGAUUGAUGAGUUGGAGAACACAUUCAAGGUUUGGAGGAUAGGUGGAGUAGUAGAUUAUAUCAACCUGAGAAGAAUAGUUGACGAGAUAAAGUUCAUUCAAGGUCUGUUUUUAUGGUCUAAGAAGUGCCAAGGAUGAGAAUGAAAUUGUUCAAACAGUGUUCUCACAUUUUAAUCUAAUAUCUAUUACUAUUGUUGAAAUAAAUAAUACUGCAGA
Eurytemora carolleeae is the source of this 536-nucleotide long non-coding RNA. RefSeq lists it as uncharacterized. Lineage: Eukaryota; Metazoa; Arthropoda; Copepoda; Calanoida; Temoridae. The transcript is spliced from 3 exons. The record is from RefSeq and is a predicted model, not a curated record.